RNAcentral lists this long non-coding RNA (221 nucleotides) under Elaeis guineensis (African oil palm). Its description in RNAcentral is "long non-coding RNA (EGUI_LNC073193)". The record is from RNAcentral. Lineage: Eukaryota; Viridiplantae; Streptophyta; Magnoliopsida; Arecales; Arecaceae.
AUAUCCAAUCAUGCUUGGUUUGAUACGGGGUGAUAUGGUUUAGUACAAUUUAAUACCUUUGCAAAAUGUAGGGAACCCAAGCAAACAUUGAUGCCCUAUGUGCACACUAGCCUGAUAUGGACUGACACCUAUAACCUUGUAUUAUUAAGUUUGUUCUUUGACCUUUCUUUCAUAGCUAUGUACAUAUAUACAUACGCAUGCAUGUACAUGUAUGUAGAGAG